UGUAACUUGGAGAUGACGGGCUGUAAGGACUAGAAGGAGACAGCUUCGGGCUGGUUGGCGAAUAUGCAAGGGAGGGGCUGUAUCUUGCCGAGGGAUUGUAACUUGGUGAUGUAGGACUGUAGGAUGGUGAUGUUGGGCUAUAGCUGGGAGAUGUUGGGCUGUAACCAGGGGAGGUAGGACUGUAUGCAGGAGAAGUCGGACUAUAUGAAGGGGAAGUUGGACUAUAAGUUGGUGAGGUGGGGCUAUAUGAAGGCGACGUGGGGCUGUAUGAAGGUGAAGUGGGACUGUAAGAUGGGGAAGUGGGGCUGUAAGAUGGAGAAGUGGGGCUAUAGGCAGGAGAAGUAGGGCUGUAGGCAGGAGAAGUAGGACUGUAAGCAGGAGAAGUAGGACUAUAACUGGGCGAUGUUGGGCUAUAGCUAGGUGAUGUUGGGCUGUAGCUCGGAGAUGUUGGGCUAUAACUGGGUGAUGUGGGUGAGUAUGAUGGACUGGUUGGAGAAUAUGCUGGACUUGUUGGGCUGUAGCCAGGGGAGCUUGGGCUAUAAGUGGGGGAAGUUGGGCUGUACCCAGGGGAUGUGGGGCUGUAGCCCGGGGAAGUGGGGCUGUAACCUGGAGAGGUCGGGCUAUAACCAGGGGAUGAUGGACUAUAACCAGGGGAUGACGGGCUGUAUCCAGGGGAUGAAGUGGGAGAGAAAGCCAUUCCACCCACAUAAGGAGAAAAUUGAGCAUCUGUCAUCGGUGACAUCCGCAUAUUUGGGCUAAGCAAAUAAUUUGGAGACAUCAUUCCGUCAUGAUAUGGGGUCCCACUGAUAGGUGAACGUCCAGGGGUCAUGCCAAAUUCAAGACCACCUUCCAUGUAGCUAGGCAGUGGUAUCUCAAUAGCUUGUUUCAACAUCUCCUCAUUGAGGUACAAAGCACAGCCUCCCGUGCCAAUCGGUGCAAGUUGACCUAACAUGAUAUUUUCUGUUACACCCUUCAGGUAAUCUGAUUCUGCAAAUACAGCAGCAUCAAGAAGAAUGUCCACUGUCUCUUCAAAUGAGCAUCUCAUCAUGGGACCUGUGUCAUUCCGGUUAAUACCAUGACGAGUAAUGGCCAUUAGAUGACCACGGUAGGUCAUGGUAUCACACAAUAUGGCCAGAUGUCUGUAGUUCACAUAGGACCCAUCAAAAGAUAUGACGACCCUCAACUCAUCCAGCAGUGCCCUACGAACUGCCUCAAUACCAAGAACUUCAAUAACUUCAAUCAAGUGAUUACUUGUUGUUCUGCUUGCAUCAACAUCUUCAUGUGUCAUAACAGCUAAAAGAUUUACACCCUCAGUGUCCAACAUCCAUUCAUUUUCUGCUUUAAAUCCUUCAUUGUCAUCAAACUUCUGCACCUUACUGUUCUUUAUGAACACCUUGUUGAUAUCUGGAAUACCACGGAGAGCCAUCUCCGUAAGCAUGUUACUCUCGAUCUUCUUAAGGAAUACAUCAUCCUCAGCAGAUUCAUCCAAUUCACCUUUUGGAGCUUCAUCAUUCAUAAUACGAAUUCGAAGGAUCAGCUUUUCCGCAUUAUCAUCAUUAAAGAUACAGGUUAAGUCAUCAUCGAAUUCAAGAUUGAUCUUUUCAGCAAUGUCAGCCAUACUAAGUUUCUUAUCCACCAUCAUUUCACGAUUUAACUCUAUGCGAAGCAACCACGGGGAGAUUUUGUCAGGAUCAAUCUCUUCAUCUGGCAUUUCAUAGUAUGACUUGACGAAUUCAACAUCUUCCUCAAUAAGGGUGCUCAUAGGAUCAGGAUCAUACCACACUUCUGUGGCUUGAGUAACGCUCCGCAAAGUGGUAUAUUCCAAGGCACACUGGACAGUUUUGGCUCUCUCUUUUGUUUUGCCUACCUCAGGUUUCAAGUACACAGAAAGAGAGGGUGUUUUGAUUUUCUUCGCAACAUUUAUGAUCUCCCUCAACCUUGGCACACCAAGCGUAACAUUCUUGGCACUCACACCAGCAUAAUGAAAUGUAUUAAGAGUCAUCUGUGUGGCAGGCUCACCAAUAGACUGUGCAGCAACACAGCCAAUCAUCUCUCCUGGUGCCACAAGGGACUGCAAGAAGCGAGACUCUAUCUCACCAACUACCCAUUCAAAAGCCUCGCGGCUAAGCCUAUACUCCUUCAGAACCCUUUUACUCGCCAAGGCACUACGGAGCAAGAUAUUGAAGAAAAGAGUGGCAUUCUUUUGAGCCUCCAUGCUUAGGUAAUCAUCACCAGGAACAACCUUCAGCCUCUCUUGUAACUUAUCAACAGCUUCCACAAUCUCCAUAGGAUGCAUAUCGGAGGGCCUCCGGAAAUCUAUCUUAAAUGUCUUUUGGGCAUUCAAGACAAGCCUCUGAAUGUUAACAGGAAGUGGCCAAGAAUUGUCACCCGUUACAGCAAUCUCUGUCCCAAGCUGGUGUCUAUCAGCUUCAAGCUUCUGAACUUCUGCAUCGAACACACUACGAAUCUCGCGAAUACCUUUUAGAUCUUCGACAGCUUCGAGCAACAUGUAACUUGGGUUCCAGUUAGGAUCAUCGAUCUCAUAUGCAUACAUGUCUUCAAAUGUUGAUUUCUUUGCUUUCAGAGAAUCCAGCUUCUGUGUCUCAAUCCAAACAGAAUCCAUCCCAUCUUCCCCAUACAGAAACUGGAUGACAUCACCCAGUGAGUUCCUAACAGUACCAUCAUACUUGACCAUGAUAUCCUCCAUGGCCUUCACUAACCGCCUCUGGAUGUACCCGGUCUCGGAAGUUUUCACAGCAGUAUCAAUCAGACCUUCUCUACCACCCAUAGCAUGGAAGAAAAACUCUUGCGGGGUGAGUCCCCGGAGAUAUGAGUUCUCCACAAAACCACGACUUUCUGGACCAUAAUCAUCCUUGGUAAAAUGAGGAAGAGUUCGGUCUAUGAACCCAAAAGGAAUACGUUUCCCUUCAACAUUCUGUUGUCCCACACAAGCAGUCAUUUGAGAUAUGUUGAUAAAACUUCCCUUGGACCCAGCUGUAACCAUAGCUUUAAGAUUAUUGCUCUCUGAUAAACUCUUUUCUGCACUGCUUCCAGCAUCAUCACGAGCCUUAUUCAACACCUAAGAUUACAAAGAAAACAUUAUAACAAAGUUAUCACACAAAACCAAGAAAAAGAGAUGGAUGUCCAUAUACAAAAGUACCUGGUUCACUCUGUUCUCGAAUGAUUCCAUCAUUGUUCGCCCUGGUUCAGCUUCUAACUGCUUCUCUUGAGCAGCUUUAAUAAGUUCUUUGACUUUGCUUUUUGCAUUCGAGAUAGUUUCAUUAAUUUUCUCCAUGGUUGCAGCAUCAGCAAUUGUAUCUCCUAUUCCAAUGCUAAAUGCUUGCUGAAGAAGCCAAUAAUUAACCAGCCACUGUGUAUGUCCCAGAAACUUUCGAGCAGCAUCUGGCCCAACCUCCUCCCUGUUUGCAGAGGCAAAGUUAACUAGGGAAAAUAUGACAAUGACCCCCCUACAGUAACAUACUUAUAGAGCCCGUGUUUUGCAGCUAUCAUCUCAUCCACCUCACUUCCAACUAAUGACAACAUCCUCACAUAAACAGGAGGAAAGCAAGCCACAUGGUGCAUCACGAGACCGUUGUUGUCUAGAACAAGUAUUUAGGGUUGACAUAAAGCCGACCCCAAGUGAAUGGGGUCCAGAUACAGACUUGAUAUGAAAGCGUUAGGUAAGUCCAGGAGAACAAAAUAGAAAUACAAAAUACUGAAAAUGCAUACCAUAUAACAUGGAUCAGACUUCCAGUGGAUGUCCCAAGGGUCUUUUUGCAAAGAGUACCAGAUAGCAACUCCCCUUUCUCUAUUCUAACUUGAGUAUCUCCAGGAGUUAUGUACCCUUUUUCUGAAUCAUUAUGCCAUGCGGAAUAUCUUAAAAGAUUUAUUUGUUUAGGUAUGAUGAGGUUAAACACUUGCUUUCCAGUCCAAAGUGGCCUUGGUUUCAGAAUCGCUGGAGCGGGAACUUUCCCGUCAAAAUCUUCCCACCACAUUAAGAUGUUCAUAAAGACAUCCUGCAAACCGAAAGUAAGCAGUCUUUACCAGAUCAUGCAAAAUCAUGAAAGAUUAAAGAAUUUUGAAAUGGCACGUGUGGAUUUACCUUUUCUAUAAAGGUAUCCCUUUUAGUGACUUUGCGGCAACCUAAAAGCGUAUCCUGGACAAUACCCAUUACAGGCCUAUUUGCCUGGGGUGAAACAAUACACUUGGGGACCAUCAUAAGCUCCAGCACCUCUGCUCUGGUUUCAAAUGACUGGGGAACAUGCAUGUUCAUUUCGUCACCAUCAAAAUCAGCAUUGUAGGGAGAAGUGACAGACAAAUUCAAGCGGAAAGUUGAGUAUGGCAUGAUCUUAAUCCUAUGCCCCAUAAUAGACAUUUUGUGUAGACUUGGUUGCCGAUUGAAAAGAACAAAAUCCCCAUCAUUUAAGUGUCUCUCAACCUGCAUUGGCAGCAUUGUCAGAGAGCUUUCUCAGAUAUCAAAAGUCCCUCAGUUACUUGGAACUGAAAGAAACAAACCUUAUAUCCCAGUUCAAGGUGCUGAUCGCUGCUCUUCUUCAAGUAUCGGAGAUCAAGCCUUUGGCCAUCAUCCCUAAUUAUAUACUUGGCCCCAGUUUUACCAGGAGGUGGAUGAGGUCCAUAUUCAACAAGCUCCUUUAACCUGUUUGAAAACACCAGCUUCAAUCAGCACAAACAUACAAUUCAUUUUUCUUCUUGUUUCAAGUGGGUUGGUGAGUGCAGGGUUUCAUUUCUACAAGAACAAAAACACACACCUUUCAAUGUUAUAUGGUGUCACUGUUUCUGGAUAAGUCAGAUUCAGAGCAAUACUCCAUGGGACUCCCAAUUGAUCAAUGUUAAUAGUUGGAUCGGGAGUAAUCACUGUCCGAGCAGAAAAGUCUACUCUUUUGCCCAUCAGAUUGCCUCUGAUCCGACCUUCCUUUGAUUUUAACCUACUACAUAUUGAUUUGAUAGGUCUACCUGAUCUUUGCGUAGCCUGAAAAUUAGAAUAUGAAAAACCCAGUGAUGAGAACUUAAACAGAUUCAACAGUUGAAUAAAAAAAAUCUCAAGAAAAAAUCAUCAUACUCUUGGCUGUCCUGGCAGAUCAUUAUCAAAAUAUGUAGCUAUAUGAAAUUGCAAUAACUGCGCAAACUCCGAAAUGAUGUGUGCCGGUGCCCCAUUCCUUUCCUGCCUCUUCAAAUUCUCGUUGUGACGAAUAAUCAUGGCCAGUUGAUGUGUUAAAUCAUCCUAAAUUAAAUUUAAACGAAAAGGUAAUCCAUCAAUUGGCACAAUUUUCUAGAAAUUUCUGUAAAGAAUAGAAGAAAGUAGAGAUAAAGCAACACUUUUAGACAACAGUACAGUAAGCUCUCAACCUCAACAGGAAAAUGAAUACCUCACUCCUUGAUGAAGUAUCCAUCAUCACAGAAGGCCGAACAGGUGGUGGUGGUAUAGGAAGCGCUUGAAGAAUCAUCCAAUCCGGGCGAGCAUACUCCGGGUUUAGGCCUAGCAAUA
Molecule: long non-coding RNA, 5506 nt
Filed under: Capsicum annuum
Lineage: Eukaryota; Viridiplantae; Streptophyta; Magnoliopsida; Solanales; Solanaceae
Description: long non-coding RNA (CANN_LNC003607)
Source: RNAcentral